UGUAGAUUGCUCACAGCUGCACACAUGAUCGGCCUCUACGGGAAGUCCACUCGAAGCUCCAAUUUGAUCGGUCUUCUCGGGAAUGCUAGUUCACGCGAAGACCUUCUUCCUAGCUGAUCUGAAUUUUUUUUCAAAUCUCUAAAAUUUUUUUAAAGAUUGAAGAUGAACUUCUGGAGGAGAUAAAGAGGUGGAAGAAAGAUAGAGAGGAGACUAUCUUCUCU
This 221-nucleotide long non-coding RNA is filed under the name Elaeis guineensis (African oil palm). RNAcentral describes it as "long non-coding RNA (EGUI_LNC069629)". Lineage: Eukaryota; Viridiplantae; Streptophyta; Magnoliopsida; Arecales; Arecaceae. The record is from RNAcentral.